CUGAGUUAUCCAAACUCCCAACCCUUUGUGAACUUACCACUGUUGCCUCGGCGAGUUGCGCUACCCUAUAGCUACCCUGUAGCUACCCGGGAACACGCUCCAAGCUCGCCAGAGGACCUACCAACUCUGUUUUAUACUGUAUCUCUGAAUCUUAUAACUAAAUAAGUUA
RNAcentral lists this unclassified non-coding RNA (169 nucleotides) under uncultured Rosellinia. RNAcentral describes it as "sequence contains ITS1". Lineage: Eukaryota; Fungi; Ascomycota; Sordariomycetes; Xylariales; Xylariaceae. The record is from RNAcentral.